RNAcentral lists this ribosomal RNA (253 nucleotides) under uncultured bacterium. RNAcentral's name for it is "partial 16S ribosomal RNA". It matches the Rfam family "Bacterial small subunit ribosomal RNA", at positions 524 to 776 of the family's 1533-position model. The record is from RNAcentral.
UACGUAGGGGGCGAGCGUUGUCCGGAUUUAUUGGGCGUAAAGAGCGUGUAGGCGGUUCGGUAAGUCUGUCGUGAAAUCCUGAGGCUCAACCUCGGGCGUGCGAUGGAUACUGCCGGGCUAGAGGGUGGUAGAGGCGAGUGGAAUUCCCGGUGUAGCGGUGAAAUGCGUAGAGAUCCGGAGGAAUACCAGUGGCGCAGGCGGCGCUCUGGGUCACACCUGACACUGAGAUACGAAGGCAUGGGGAGCGAACGGG